RNAcentral lists this ribosomal RNA (513 nucleotides) under uncultured bacterium. RNAcentral's name for it is "partial 16S ribosomal RNA". It matches the Rfam family "Bacterial small subunit ribosomal RNA", at positions 28 to 523 of the family's 1533-position model. The record is from RNAcentral.
GACGAACGCUGGCGGCAUGCCUAAUACAUGCAAGUCGAGCGAACAGAUGAAGUGCUUGCACUUCUGACGUUAGCGGCGAACGGGUGAGUAACACGUAAGGAAUCUACCUAUAAGCGGGGGAUAACAUUCGGAAACGGGUGCUAAUACCGCAUAAUAUCUUCUUCCGCAUGGAAGAAGAUUGAAAGACGGCUCUGCUGUCACUUAUAGAUGACCUUGCGGUGCAUUAGUUAGUUGGUGGGGUAAUGGCCUACCAAGACGAUGAUGCAUAGCCGACCGGACAGGGAGAUCGGCAACGUGGGCACUGAGGACCGGCCCAAACUCCUACGGGAGGCAGCAGUAGGGAAUCUUCCGCAAUGGGCGAAAGCCUGACGGAGCAAUGCCGCGUGAGUGAAGAAGGCCUUCGGGUCGUAGAACUCUGUUAUAAGAGAAGAACAAAUUGUAGAGUAACCGCUACAGUCUUGACGGUAUCUUAUCAGAAAGCCACGGCUAACUACGUGCCAGCCGCCGCCGUAA